Molecule: unclassified non-coding RNA, 509 nt
Filed under: Leishmania donovani
Lineage: Eukaryota; Euglenozoa; Kinetoplastea; Trypanosomatida; Trypanosomatidae
Description: gene:unknown
Source: RNAcentral
AGGGUCAGGCGGGCACGCACGCCGACACAGACACGCGAGAUGCGUGUGCUUACGCCACUUCUGGAGACCUUUGCCGCGUCUCUGGGCCUGCGCUCUACAAGAGAGCUGACAUUCUCUUCUCCCGCACAGGCACACGCAUAUGGAGUAACACAAGAUCGACACCGGCAACAGCGUUACCGGGACGUGUCAUGAGGGAAAGAGAGGAUGGCACGCCAGGCAAUGCGGCAGCUGCAACGAGAGCAGCGCUGCCGUCCGUAGGGCUUUUUCGAAUCGUCUAAAAGCAGCAGCCGCAAAACGGCGACAUGCAUCUCACUCCCCCGCCUUGCGUUGCCGGCACCGCUGCAUAUAUGUGAGACCUUUACGGCGAGCCACAAGAACAAAGUCGCACCGCAUUUUGACCAGCCGCGCUUCGCUCCCCACCCUGAGACUUCUGUACGAACGGCGAGAGUCCACGCCGACGCUCGCUUGGGCACCGAUUGGGUCACCCUGGUCCUUGCUCUGGAGUGCGU